Long non-coding RNA from Photinus pyralis (common eastern firefly), 2206 nucleotides. RefSeq lists it as uncharacterized. Lineage: Eukaryota; Metazoa; Arthropoda; Insecta; Coleoptera; Lampyridae. The transcript has 2 exons. The record is from RefSeq and is a predicted model, not a curated record.
ACCUGUUAAAACGCUGCUUUUUAUAAAAGUGAACCAGUCUAUUUGGCCUUUCGCGGUUGUGAGCACCCUAGGAUUUAAUUCAAGUUCUACCAGCUCUCGGAAGUCUUCGUCAUCUGUGAGUUCCUCACAAAAGUCCAUUUCUCAUUGUUUACAAUUUGAUGUCUCAAUCAUCGGAAAGUAUCGCAAAAGUUAAAACUGAUUGAAAACGUUAAGCGCACAUUUAUUGCUGAUCCGUCCUUUAACCGGCAGAUCAAGUUGAUAUUGGUUUAAAACCUGGAUCACAUCCCGAAGAAAAUUGAUCCCAGAUCACAUUUUUGAUCUGAGGAUCAAAUCGUUCAUACAACGCACCCUAAGUAUAUCCUUUUGGAGAGAAGACAUUUAAUGUCAAUGCAAAUUUCCUGAUUUCAGGAGAAUACUUCCUUGUUGUACUUGUGGUAUGUUUAACCGUAGCGCACUACCAGAGUCGUACAGUUCAAGCAGGUGGCGAUCCGUACGCGACAGUGAGUUUAAACCCACGUAAAAAUAGUAUAUUCAUGGUAAAAAAUGGAAAUAAAGUUCUCUUAGUUCUACCUGCUUUUUUCUAUUAGCGCUACCAUACUAUAUUUGGCGACGAGGAAAAUGGUUUCUAGUUUGCAACUUUUUUUCUAUAUCUAUUUAUUUAGCAAUCAUUCAUGCAUUCUAUUAGCUAAAGGGUUAAUAUCCACUAGGUAUACUAACAGAUAAAUACCAUAACAAGAUUAACAUCCAUCGAUGCAACCUAUGUAACAAUUUUUUAAGUCUUUUAUUGAUCCUUGGUUGCAGUAACUGUUCCAAUAAGGGGUUUGUGUGGGUUUCUAGGGCCUCAUGAUGUUUGGUAGCUCUUUCCUGGAUUACUUCGGAACCGUUGGUAUAUGUAUGUAGAAUAUUACGCGAAUACUAUUUUUCACUCAACGAUAGAAUUUAAUAUAUUUAUCGUCCUGUAAUUCCGAGGCGGUCGCUGUUUAAUGUGUAUAAGACAAAAAGUUCUGUUCUAAAAGAGCUGGUAACAAUUGAAAUCAUAGGUAAGUAGGGGCAAUUAAAAAUAGAUUUAUUUUUGUGAAUGUUUUUAUAUAGGGGAUUGUACCUAUACUAUAUUUAAAAGUUUGGGGGUCAGAUUGGUGUGAAUCUCGCAUUCGUCUCAAUUUACUCCUUCUAUAAUUUUAUAAUUAAUGUUACUCAUUGAUAUCAGACUGCCUUUGCCAAAUGAUUCCAAUUUUGCAACAUGCGCAACAUUUCAGUUUUAGUUUUUGGGAAAAAUAGAAGAGAAUAUAAAUUGGGUAUUUUUGAAAAUGUACCUAGUGAUGUGUAGAAAAAUAUCCAUCUUGUGACUGUUCUUAUUUUACAUAAAUAAAUGGGUUGUUUUUACAAUUCAAAUUUCACAAGCGUAGGUCAACUUUUCUAUCAAUAUGACGAUCGCAAUUUUUAAAUAACUGCACGGAAAGAAAUUACGCCAAUAAAACAGGUUACCUCGAAAGAUAUUGCAUAAUCAUUUAUUAAUAACAAAAGUUUAAGAAUGCGCAGUCAUGCAAUUCUAUAAAUUAUUUGCAGAAAUACCUUGGUAAAGGGAAGUCAUUGAAGUACCUACAAUGAAACUGUUCAUCGUGUUCGUCUUACUAACAGUCGACUCACUGGCACUCGAUAUCGUACCUUGCAAUCUAGACGAGCCAUUAAAUCAAUGUUACUCUGAGGGACAAUAUGAUUCCAAUGAGUUGUUAAAAAUAUGGGAUGCUCGAAUUGAAAUCCUCGAACCUAGUGAGAAAAUACUGCAAUUCCUAGACUGCUUCUUGAAGAGAUUAGGUGUAUAUGGUGAAGAUGGUGUAGUUAAUUUGGUUCAAUUUGCAAGUCAACUGCCCUGCUUCCUUAAAAAAGCCUUGGGGAACCAAGUUGAUGUUAUUCUAUUGGGGAAAGCUGUCGCCGAUCGUUGUCUCAAACUAAUGCCCGUUGACCAAACAUCUGUACGUCGUUGCUUUUCCGUUAGAAAUUGUGCUGUUAAGUACCUUCAGACACUCCCGACUGGGAUUGGUCUCACAUUAUAAUUUGUUUAAUCAAAAUCAAGUUGUCAACGGAUUUAUCUCGCAUAUCUUUUUUACAUUUGAUUUGAAUUAAAAAUAAGCCAAAAUAGUUUUUCAUUGUAUUAUUAUGUUUUUAAACUUGGAUAAUUCUUUAAAUAUUAAAUAAUAAUGGACAA